UCUAACAGGUAUGGGCAGUAGAGAUAUUACUGGCCCUACAAGACUAUGUUGUUUCGUACGUUCCGCAUCAAAUUCCACGCUUCAUUCAAUAUCAAGGUUGGAAGGGUUGGAGGUAUAACAGAAAACAUGCUAUUUUCGAUAGUAAAGUUACAACAGUAGUAAUGAAAUUAGAACCAACGCUACGAGAAUGGAAAACGGAUGUCGUUUGCUUUGUGCGUGACAGUUUCCAGCUUACUGAGACCCAGGAAGAUGAUGAGGAGGGUAAUGAGAUUGAUCACAAGAAGGGUGACGAGUCAGAUGAUAGCGAUGAGAAAGGCGUGGAGGGAGAGUGACCGAGGGGUGGUAUACCAAAUGUUGUUCUUAUGGAGGAAUUUAAGAUUGAGAGGGAAGAGUUGAAGAAGGAGAGAGAGGAAUUGAAAAAUGAGAGGGAGGAAUUGAGAAAAGAGAGGGCAGAGAUGAGAAGGAAAGAAGCAUUGUUUAAUGAUAGGGAAACAUUACUGAGGAGGGAGAAGGAUUUGUUCUUUGUGGACAAGGAAUGGUUCUUCAAGGACAAAGAAAAGUUAGUGAAUGAGAUGGAGGAGUUUAAUAAGGAGAAGGAAGGUAGUCGUACACAGAGGGGAUGUAAUGUGAUGGAGGAGGAGGGUGAGGAGUUGAGGAAGAGAGUGGAAGUAAAUGAUAUUGAAGA
Long non-coding RNA from Magnolia sinica, 685 nucleotides. RefSeq lists it as uncharacterized. The record is from RefSeq and is a predicted model, not a curated record. Lineage: Eukaryota; Viridiplantae; Streptophyta; Magnoliopsida; Magnoliales; Magnoliaceae. The transcript has 3 exons.